AAUCCAUGGUUGGGAUAUUUCCUCAACAACAUCUAGAAACAUUCGCAAGCCUCAUAGAAUGCUUCUUCUGUACUUUGUCUAAAUGUUGAGAUCUCAAAAUUGGUGU
This 106-nucleotide small nucleolar RNA is filed under the name Lupinus angustifolius (narrow-leaved blue lupine). RNAcentral's name for it is "Plant small nucleolar RNA R71". It matches the Rfam family "Plant small nucleolar RNA R71". Rfam says of the family: R71 is a member of the C/D box family of snoRNAs containing the C (UGAUGA) and D (CUGA) box motifs. Multiple nearly identical copies of this snoRNA have been identified in Arabidopsis, and it is thought to function as a 2'-O-ribose methylation guide for 18S ribosomal RNA. The record is from Rfam by way of RNAcentral. Lineage: Eukaryota; Viridiplantae; Streptophyta; Magnoliopsida; Fabales; Fabaceae.